This 253-nucleotide ribosomal RNA is filed under the name uncultured bacterium. RNAcentral's name for it is "partial 16S ribosomal RNA". It matches the Rfam family "Bacterial small subunit ribosomal RNA", at positions 524 to 776 of the family's 1533-position model. The record is from RNAcentral.
UACGUAGGGGGCAAGCGUUGUCCGGAUUUAUUGGGCGUAAAGAGCGUGUAGGCGGCCAAACAGGUCCGUUGUGAAAACUCGAGGCUCAACCUCGAGCUGUCGAUGGAAACCGUUUGGCUAGAGUCCGGAAGAGGAGAGUGGAAUUCCUGGUGUAGCGGUGAAAUGCGCAGAUAUCAGGAAGAACACCCGUGGCGAAGGCGGCUCUCUGGGACGGUACUGACGCUGAGACGCGAAAGCGUGGGGAGCAAACAGG